UUUAAGUCAUCUACAAGCCUAGAAAAAUGUUGAAAUUUUUUUUCUCUUCCCUGACUACAAAUUCCAAUUCUACCUUUCUCACUCCCUCACUCACCUCAAAUCUGCUCUUCACUUCUAGUUCCUUAUCUCCUCCUUAUUUUAGUAUAUGAAAUCUUACUGGCUUUACUUGUCUCUUGACUUAUGUUGGAUGCUAUAACUAUCUGUUUCAAUCCCACUUUACAUCCUGACCAGCACCAUGCAACUCCUCACCUCCCUGACUUUCUGCCAUAGCUGUGCUGCCAGUCCUAAAGACUAGACUUCCCUCUGUGUUACCGGGCUGAGUUAGUGGAUUUGACAUGGCUUCCUAGGGGCAUCCCUUUAGAAGGGAAUGAUUGUCUUGGUUGCCCUGGCCAAAGAAUUCAGUACCAAGGGACCAGACUACUUGUGAUAAAUUUCAGUACUCCAAAAUCUUUCAAGCAUGGGUUACUAAACUGGUAGAUCAUGAGAAUAAAAACAUAAAAAGCCAAAGUGGUGCCAGGGAGAGGGUUGCAACUGGUACCCUGAGAGAUUUGUGUAACCUUGGGAUGGUGGUCUGUCUCUGCAAACCUACACCUGCCAGUGUGAGAACAAUUGUAGCAGGUGGGAGAGGAGCCAAAGCAGAGAAGUAUCCCAUGGCCAGGGAGAGAUGAAAAUUGCUUUCUGAGGAGAGCCCCACCCAACAAUUAUCCACAGAGUUUCAGGUCUAGACAAUGGAAUCAUCUCCCACUGGACAAGGUGAAUAUCCAGUUCUCUUAAAUCAUUUAAGAUGAAUCUGGACAAAACACCAGAGAACAUCUAUCAUCACCGGGACUUACGACUGGACAAAGAUACAUCACGAAGGAAGACUGAGGAAAACAAGAAGUUGGAAAAAAAAGAGGGGGAGGAGGAGGACCUUAGGAAAGAGGCAUUCCCCUCCCCACCCCCUGCCCUGUAAAGAGGGAUAUAAUCAAAAGAGACAGAAUUACCACCAGCAGGAAGGCAGUAUGGUGUCGAGGAAAAAACUGGAGCUCUGGAGUCAAGAGAUGUGAAUCUGAGUCCCCCACUUCAUCCUUACUGAUUGUGUGACCCUGGGCAAAUAAGUCAUUUUUUGUCACUGAGCCUCCAUUUUUUUGUUUUUUGUUUGUUUUUUUUUGUUUUUUUUUUUUGUUUGUUUGUUUUUCUUUAUCUUCAAAAUGGAGGUAUGGCACCUGCCCUGUGAGCUUUGUUGGGAGAGUCAAGAAGACACUAUUGCUGAGUUUGGAAACAUCUUUGAAGUUGUCUUUCCAGGGCUGUUUGGAAAGACUUCUGGGAGGGAAGAUGAACCAUCUUUUUUGCUUGACUCAAUGAGAAGUGUAGCCCGCAUGGACUGGUGCAUCUGAUUUCUGAAUGUCCAUGAUGCCCUUGCACCCUUACUUUGCAAUCUUGCAAGUCCCGGUUGCAUAUGAUGGGGGAGGUGGCAUCAGGAGGUGAGGAGUAGUCUUUCUCCUGGCCCAGAACUAAUGCACCUUUGCUCCCCCACCUUUUGCCAGUUAUGUGGGGGAAUUAACUCAUUAUGGUACCAUUCAUUCAUGGUGGAUCAUUUCCUUCUGUUCCCUCUUCUAUUUGGAAGACGUUCAGACUUGGGGGAAGAAUCCGAGUCUAUUCCCCACCUUGAGCAGUUUGGGUGGGUGUUCCCUUGCAAAUUAUUUGUUCCUCAGUUGCCUUCCAAUACUGCUGUUACUUACUUGUGAACUUGUUCCUUACCCACCCCCUCCUUUGUAUAAAAGAACUCUGUGG
Non-coding RNA from Phascolarctos cinereus (koala), 1773 nucleotides. Lineage: Eukaryota; Metazoa; Chordata; Mammalia; Diprotodontia; Phascolarctidae. The record is from RefSeq and is a predicted model, not a curated record.